AUUGAACGCUGGCGGAAUGCUUUACACAUGCAAGUCGAGCGGACAGCGCGGGGGCAACCCUAGGCGGCGAGCGGACGAACGGGUGAGUAAUGCAUCGGAACGUAACCCUGGAGUGGGGGGAUAACGCCGCGAAAGCGGCGCUAAUACCGCAUAUGCUCUGAGGAGGAAAGUGGGGGACCGCAAGGCCUCACGCUUCUGGGAGCGGCCGAUGUCCGAUUAGCUAGUUGGUGGGGUAAAGGCUUACCAAGGCGACGAUCGGUAGCUGGUCUGAGAGGAUGAUCAGCCACACUGGGACUGAGACACGGCCCAGACUCCUACGGGAGGCAGCAGUGGGAAUCUUGCGCAAUGGGCGGAAGCCUGACGCAGCAACGCCGCGUG
This 378-nucleotide ribosomal RNA is filed under the name uncultured bacterium. Its description in RNAcentral is "bacterial SSU rRNA". It matches the Rfam family "Bacterial small subunit ribosomal RNA", at positions 29 to 403 of the family's 1533-position model. The record is from RNAcentral.